CCUGGGUUUGACAUAUAGGUUGUAGGGAACUGAAAAGGGACCGACCCUUCGGGGAGCCUAUACAGGUGUUGCAUGGCUGUCGUCAGCUCGUGUCGUGAGAUGUUCGGUUAAGUCCGCUAACGAGCGCAACCCUCGCUGUAUGUUAUAUGUAUCAUACGGGACUGCCGGUAAAAAGCCGGAGGAAGGUGGGGAUGAUGUCAAGUCAGCAUGACCUUUAUAUCCAGGGCUACACACACGCUACAAUGGUCUGUACAAUGGGUAGCCAAGCCGCGAGGCGGAGCCAAUCCUGAAAGCAGGCCUCAGUUCAGAUUGCAGUCUGCAACCCGACUGCAUGAAGCCGGAGUUGCUAGUAACCGCAGGUCAGCUAUACUGCGGUGAAUACGUUCCCGGGUCUUGUACACACCGCCCGUCACGUCAUGGAAGCUGGCAACGCCUGAAGCCGGUAUCCUAACCCUCACGGGAAGGAGCUGUCUAAGGCGGGGUCGGUGACUGGGACGAAGUCGUAACAAGGUAACCAAGGGCGAA
RNAcentral lists this ribosomal RNA (525 nucleotides) under uncultured bacterium. RNAcentral describes it as "bacterial SSU rRNA". It matches the Rfam family "Bacterial small subunit ribosomal RNA", at positions 974 to 1510 of the family's 1533-position model. The record is from RNAcentral.